This 1460-nucleotide long non-coding RNA is filed under the name Rattus norvegicus (Norway rat). Its description in RNAcentral is "long non-coding RNA NONRATT018893". The record is from RNAcentral. Lineage: Eukaryota; Metazoa; Chordata; Mammalia; Rodentia; Muridae.
GCUUGGCUGCGAGUCCCUUCACUCCUUUGGGGGUCACAUACUUAGGGUUCACAGCAGUGAAGUAGCAACAAAGAGAUUUUACAUUGGAGGUCACCACAACAUGAAAACCGUAUUAAAGGGCUCCGUUGGGAUACCAAGGUAGUUCUGUAUGGUGAAGAAUGGACUCUGGGAUGGGUGCUGCUCAGUGGUAGACAUUUUUUGGACAUGAAUGCAUAUUGAAUGCUCGGCCAAUACCCUUUACAUGCCAAACCCCCUUUAAAAGUGAAUCCAGACUAAUCUUAAAUCAGCCAGCCAGUCCAAGUUGGCCACUCCCUCACGACACUUUUCAGUUGCGCUCAAUUGGAAAAAGACUUUCUUAGUAGCUGUUUAUUGAUCAAUAGUUUAAUAUAAAGAGAUUUUAGAUCUUCAGAUUUUUGCCCAGACAGAAUCACAAGCAUUACAAAUAUUCUCUUCUUUUAAAAAAAGGUGGGGAAGGGGAUGAACCAGAAGGAGAUUGAUCUAGAAGUAGUGACAUUUGAAAAUAAAUUAACAAAAAAAAUUUAGUAUUCUCAUUUAUUGGUGACAAAGACUAAGUUUCCUUAUAUUCCAUGGGUGAAAAGGUCCAGCUAAACCCCGAGUGGGAGCAGCAGGGUUGCACUCAGAGCCACAAUGCUCCACACCAGGCCGGCAGACCUUCCUGCCUCUGUGCACACUAGCACAGCACCAGGAAACCUGUCGCCCUUCCCUACGUGGAGGCUGGGAUUGACUGUAUUGGGCCCUCCAGGGACACCAGCCCAUAGUCUUCUGGGCCCACAGGUAAUGUCCUGUAGUGUGUAGAAAAAGCCACCUUGAGCAAUACUCCCUCAAGUGACCUCCCACUGGCAAUCUGUUACAAUGGGUGACAACCUCUCCCGUUGACAAUCUGUUAUAACUGGUAAAGGUCAGGCUCACUUUUAAGUAUGCUGCUUAAAAAUAAAGUUAAAAAGGACCAAAUCUUUUGAUCUCCUAAAGUUUAAAAGUCCUAAGCUGUCCAAUUUAUACAAGGGGUUGGGAGUCAAGGAUUCUUGUGGUUAAGUCCAGAACUGCCAGCCGAGCCAGAGGCACAGAAUGCAUCACCAAACAGGGCUGUGGUCUUUGCCAGUUACAUAGCUGGAUAGCAUCUGUCUCAGACUAGUUUCUAAACUGCUAGGUAAGUAGAUGCAACUGAGAAACUGAAAUGAAAAUUACAUAGUGUCAUCUCAACCAAAGGGAAUAAUGGAACUAACAGGCAUCCAUCACUGUUGAAGAGAAAGCAGUGGUUACGGUGGGUGCUACGUGUGGCAGAGUUGCGUCAGUCAUGUAGGAAGCACUGGUUUUUCUCUGGUGCGUUUAGCUCCGGGGCCGCUGUAAGGCCUCUCUGGUGUGGCUGUCCCGGUUUUCCAAAGAAUCUGAAGAAGCCAGCGUGAGAGUUGGCCACGCUCUCCGUUUCUCUGUCACGAGGC